AACGCACGAGGCUAUCAAUUGGGCAUUUCUAUAUUAGUGAUGGGUCGUUUCCCUUUUUCAAUUAAGGCCAAAUAUUUUGUGUAUGUGUCUUCGAGUCAGUCUUGACUCCUGGUGACUGCCUGGAAAAGCCCCUGGGUUUACUUGGCAGGACUUCAGAAGUGGUUUGCCAUUGCCUGCUUUUUAAGGUUGAGAGAGAGUGACUAGCCCAUAGUCAUUCUGCUGGUUUCAUGCCUGAGUUGGGAUUAGAACUCAUGGUCUCCCAGGGUCCAGCCUGCUACCUUAUCUCUAUGACAAACUAAGUGCAAACUCCCUGUCCUCAGUCGGAGACAUAUACAGGCUCUUUGCUGUACUGUAUCCUAUAUUUCCUUUACAUUCCAAUUGGCUGAUUCUGGGUAACAAAGCUGGGCAGAUGUUUUUGAAGACUGCUAUGAAAUAAUGCUGAAAUAAGGAAGAUAUUAUUUUAACACUGGUUCAUCUAAAGAUGAGGUCAGCCACCUCAUUCCUGGACUGGGAAUGAGAUGAAGGCAGCAUCAUAGAAACAGCAAAAAAGUUAUUUACCAGAUUAUCAGGAAGGAAGAAAGGAAGGAAGGAAGGAAGGAAGGAAGAUAAUGAAUGAAUUUGCUGCUAUUUUGAUGAAGUCAUAAUAAUAUUUUGUAAAGGGAAAAAAGCUUGAUUGUCUUAAUGGUUGUGAAUGUCAGUUUUUAAUAGUUCUGUUAAAACAAAAUGCAUAUACCAUUAUGUAGCAAACAUUAUAUUUAACAAUGUUUGCUUUAAUUCUGUGUUGUAAUAUUUCUCCAUUAUGCUGAUUAAUAAAAUUCCAUUAAUGAAUUAUAAACAUAAUAUUGACAUAUUAAAAUUGCUUUCUAUAAACUGUAGUGAACAGGCAGAAUUACAAAGUUAGCAUGUUUUUAUCCAAAUAUACAAAGCCCUCAAAUGUAACAGAAGCUAUUGUUUUCCAUAUGACUUAAACAGUUAUAGAAAAUAUUUGUACAAUUAUCACUACAUAUAACCAAUGUUGGCUUUGGUCUAGAAUUAUUGAGAUAUUGUUUUGCAAAGUCUCAUAAAGUACUUAUUUUAAACAGUUCGUAAUAUAAUUUUAUAAGUGAUAGACUUUGAUAUGCAGAAAUGUUUUAUGUAUAUAAUUAGAACUUUUUCAGUGCUUAUAUCGUGAGAGCUACUUUAGUCACGUGCACAAUAACAUUAGACAAGUUCAGAAUAAAUAUGUUAUCACAUUUAUAAGUAUUUGUGUUAUAUAAUGUGGAAAUGUGAGCAUAAAAGGCCAAAAUUAGAUGUGCCAAAUAGAAUGUUCUUUAAACGAUACUUUUCCUAUAAUAAAAUGUGGAGUGCAGUUUUCUACAUUCUCAAACUGUUAAAAAUGUGGAUAUGUUUUACAGAGAAAACUUAAUUAAAGGACCACUAUUUAGAGGAUUUUAGAUGCAAUAGACCACAUUAUGGUCCUAACAUUCUCCAGAAUAGCAAGACAAGUCAACUGUAUUCAAAAUAGUCUGAGUGAGACAAAGUUAUAUCAAUUUUUCAUCAUUUGUGACCACUUAUAUAAUUUGUCUUAUAUUUUAUGCAAAAUUAUGUGGAUUAGUUGCUGUGAAUAAUUAAUUAGUGAUUUAAUGGACAUGGUAUUGGGCAUCCAUCCCCUCUAGUUGGUACAUUAAAUUUGAGCUUCACUGUAAUUUUCAUUGACUAAGUGUUCUCUUUUAUUUAGGCAUCAACAUGCCUAAUAAAGUAUCUCAUUCAGAAUAGUUUUCUUUAAAACUUUGCUUUUCCCCCCAUAUCAGUUUGAUUGUAUUUUUCUUUUAUUAAUAUAUGUCAAUCAUUUAGUUUGAUCAACACAAAUGAACAUAUAGUUGAUCGAUAAAGCUUGGAGAUAUCUUUAUUUGAAGAAUGUUAAUUUCAGAUGAAAAAACUCCCACACCCCUCUCCAAGAAAGGAAGGAAGGAAGGAAGAGAAAGAAGGAAAGAAAAAAAGAAAAAGAAAAAAAAAUAACCAAAACCUUGUAGAUAUAGUUGAUUAAACUUUCUGGUUGGUAGAAAGUUGUUGAAUAGAGGAUGCAACCCAAAACACUAAUAAUGCAUUAGAUUAAGAGAGUUACAGCUACUGUAUAAAAGGAUGAUCUCUUCAGAUAAGAAUAUUCUUUUUUCAAUUUGACAUUUAUAUAGCCUGUUGGGUAGAGAAUCUGUUGGUAUAAUGCAGAUAAUUCAGACCCUCUUUAGACAUAGCUAAGAAAUAUCAGCAGAGGAGAUGGUAACACGAACCUCUGUACAAAAAGAUUACAGAAGAACCAUCUUAUGCAGAAUUAUCAAAAUUUCUAAGAAGGUUUGAUCCAUUUCUGGGUAAUGAUGCAUUUUUACAACAGUCCUAAUUUUAAACAGUAAAAUAAUCGGUAUAUUGGUUACAUUAUUAUUAUUGAAUAUAUUACUAGGAGAGAAAGAGGGUGCUCACUGCACAGUGCCCAUUAAAUAUG
Crotalus tigris (Tiger rattlesnake) is the source of this 2476-nucleotide long non-coding RNA. RefSeq lists it as uncharacterized. The transcript is spliced from 2 exons. The record is from RefSeq and is a predicted model, not a curated record. Lineage: Eukaryota; Metazoa; Chordata; Lepidosauria; Squamata; Viperidae.